CUGGCUCAGAUUGAACGCUGGCGGAAUGCCUUACACAUGCAAGUCGAACGGCAGCACGGGAGCAAUCCUGGUGGCGAGUGGCGAACGGGUGAGUAAUACAUCGGAACGUGCCCAAUCGUGGGGGAUAACGUAGCGAAAGCUACGCUAAUACCGCAUACGAUCUACGGAUGAAAGCAGGGGACUCGCAAGAGCCUUGCGCGAAUGGAGCGGCCGAUGGCAGAUUAGGUAGUUGGUGGGGUAAAGGCUCACCAAGCCUUCGAUCUGUAGCUGGUCUGAGAGGACGACCAGCCACACUGGGACUGAGACACGGCCCAGACUCCUACGGGAGGCAGCAGUGGGGAAUUUUGGACAAUGGGCGCAAGCCUGAUCCAGCCAUUCCGCGUGCAGGAUGAAGGCCUUCGGGUUGUAAACUGCUUUUGUACGGAACGAAAAGCCUUUCUCUAAUACAGGGAGGUCAUGACGGUACC
This 467-nucleotide ribosomal RNA is filed under the name Variovorax sp. R-39150. RNAcentral describes it as "bacterial SSU rRNA". It matches the Rfam family "Bacterial small subunit ribosomal RNA", at positions 19 to 479 of the family's 1533-position model. Lineage: Bacteria; Pseudomonadati; Pseudomonadota; Betaproteobacteria; Burkholderiales; Comamonadaceae. The record is from RNAcentral.